GAGGGAAUGCCUAUAGGGGUCUCCCGAUGAGGAGCGCAGAAUCCCUUCACUGAAAGACAUAGCAAACAGUAGCCACGGAGAAGGCCUCCAAGUCCAGCCGUCUGUAAUUAGCACAGAACCUGACGGGUGCUAAUGGACAGCAGCUGCUCAGCGGGUUUGGCUCUAAUCACUAGAGACUCUGGGAAGAGUUGGCAGAGGCUCAUGAUGGAACCGGGAUUCAAGCCCUGAUCUCCUGACUCACCAGCCAGUUCGCCUUCUCCACCGUGUGGGAAGAUCUAAAACCCAAGGCUUCCAGAGUAUUCUGUGGUUCCCCAAGAUGCCUGACAUCGGUACAGAACCUGAGGCCACAAGAGGCAGAAUGGCUUGCCUGAGACCGUACAGCAAAUGCAUGGCAGAGAUGGACUUGGCCUGACACAUCCUGUGUGCCUGAGAACCUGUCUCUGUGGCACCGUAGUACCUCUUAACUGGGCCAUGGUGACAGGUGUACCAGGGUCGAUAACAUAGAAAUGAGAGCCCAGUGUCCCCUCUUUAGACUCGGGGCCCACUAUUUUGAAACAGUGGAUGGCACGGACAAUAAGUAGUACCACAGCCACCUCCCUGAGAGUGACCAGGCUUCAGACUGUAGGGUGAGGAGCAGGUCAGUGGACGUGCAUUAAUUGAGAGGCUGUCAUGCAGCCCUCAGCUAAGGGGUGGGCCAGAUGGGCUCCAGGGGCACAUUCAGGAGAGGUCACUUUAGAUCCUCCAUUUGGAGAGUGUCUGAGGUACCAGCGACACUCACCUGCGUGUGGAAUGGAUUCCCUAAAGGAGCAGAGGAUGAUUCAAGGACAGCCUUCAGGCGUGGGGUCCCAGCCCAGCAAGAGGUCUCCAUGGAUGCAAAGGGACAGUGGAGAGAUGGGAAGAAGAUAGAAGAACUGGGUUCGGGGUUGGGGAUUUAGCUCAGUGGUAGAGCGCUUGCCUAGCAAGCGCAAGGCCCUGGGUUCGGUCCUCAGCUGCGAAAAAAGAAAAAAAAAAAAAACUGGGUUCAAAUCCUGACCACUCCAUGAGCCUGGGGACCUUGACUUCUCUGAGCCGAGCUCGGUCUGUUUGUCCACAAGAUGGGAACCAGUGUGCCAGCUGUACACAGACGGGUGGCACUUCAGUAAAAUCAUUUCUCUGGACAGCAUAAGCAAUGGCCGCUUUAAUGACUGAUUUUGACCACCUUCCCAUCAGAAGGAGCAUCUUCACAGCUUCCCUGAGGGCGUGGGUCCUAGACUCUCCUAACAUCCGCCUGGAAGUCCUUCCAAAUAUCUCCCUGCUGCGGCUGCUGCUUGAACACACAGAUGUAAUAAACGCCUGGUGCAGGAUCAAGGUCAAAAUCAAGGAAAAGCGAAGCCCCACCAGGAUAGAGGAUAAAACAGAAGCCGGCCCAGGAGAUAUCAGUGGCAGAGACAGGGGGAGCCCCUGAACCCCGGUAACAGUCAGGUUAUUACAAAUCUAAAACCCUA
Molecule: non-coding RNA, 1484 nt
Organism: Rattus norvegicus (Norway rat)
Lineage: Eukaryota; Metazoa; Chordata; Mammalia; Rodentia; Muridae
Source: RefSeq, a predicted model, not a curated record